UACGGAGGGUGCGAGCGUUAAUCGGAAUUACUGGGCGUAAAGCGCGCGUAGGCGGUUUGUUAAGUCAGCUGUGAAAGCCCCGGGCUCAACCUGGGAAUGGCAUUGGAUACUGGCAACCUAGAAUGUGGUAGAGGGUGGCGGAAUUCCCGGUGUAGCAGUGAAAUGCGUAGAUAUCGGGAGGAACAUCCGUGGCGAAGGCGGCCACCUGGACCAACAUUGACGCUGAGGCACGAAAGCGUGGGGAGCAAACAGG
Molecule: ribosomal RNA, 253 nt
Filed under: uncultured bacterium
Lineage: Bacteria
Description: partial 16S ribosomal RNA
Rfam family: Bacterial small subunit ribosomal RNA
Source: RNAcentral